RNAcentral lists this ribosomal RNA (129 nucleotides) under Buxus microphylla var. japonica. RNAcentral's name for it is "partial 26S ribosomal RNA". It matches the Rfam family "Eukaryotic large subunit ribosomal RNA", at positions 1 to 128 of the family's 3401-position model. Lineage: Eukaryota; Viridiplantae; Streptophyta; Magnoliopsida; Buxales; Buxaceae. The record is from RNAcentral.
GCGACCCCAGGUCAGGCGGGACUACCCGCUGAGUUUAAGCAUAUCAAUAAGCGGAGGAAAAGAAACUUACGAGGAUUCCCCUAGUAACGGCGAGCGAACCGGGAACAGCCCAGCUUGAAAAUCGGGCGG